RNAcentral lists this ribosomal RNA (292 nucleotides) under uncultured bacterium. RNAcentral describes it as "partial 16S ribosomal RNA". It matches the Rfam family "Bacterial small subunit ribosomal RNA", at positions 790 to 1084 of the family's 1533-position model. The record is from RNAcentral.
GUAGUCCACGCCGUAAACGAUGAUAACUAGUUGUCGGGGGUCUUAGACCUUCGGUGACGCAGCUAACGCAUUAAGUUAUCCGCCUGGGGAGUACGGUCGCAAGCUUAAAACUCAAAGGAAUUGACGGGGCCCGCACAAGCAGCGGAGCGUGUGGUUUAAUUCGACGCAACGCGAAACACCUCACCCAGAUUUGACAUGUCCGUGCAAGCCAGUGAAAGCUGGUCGCCUUCGAGGGUCGGACACAGAUGCUGCAUGGCUGUCGUCAGCUCGUGUCGUGAGGUGUUGGGUUAAG